RNAcentral lists this ribosomal RNA (433 nucleotides) under uncultured bacterium. Its description in RNAcentral is "partial 16S ribosomal RNA". It matches the Rfam family "Bacterial small subunit ribosomal RNA", at positions 29 to 507 of the family's 1533-position model. The record is from RNAcentral.
AACGAACGCUGGCGGCAUGCCUAACACAUGCAAGUCGAACGAGAGCUUCGGGUAUAGUGGCGGACGGGUGCGUAACGCGGGGGAACCUGCCCUUAGGUUGGGAAGAACUCCCCGGAAGGGGUGCUAAUGUCGGAUGAUGUGUUCGUACCAAAGAUUUGUCGACGUUGGAUGGGGGGGCACGGGAUUAGCCAGGUGGUAGGGUAAAAGCCUCUCAAGGCGACGAGACAUAGAGGGUCUGAGAGGAAAAGCCGACACUCUGUGACUGAGACACGGCCGAGAAUCCUGCAGGAGGCAGGAGUGGGGGAUACUGGACAAUGGGGGGAGGCAUGAUCCAGCAAUGCCGGGUGAGUGAUGAAGGCCUUAGGGUUGUAAAGCUCUUUUACCCGGGAUGAUAAUGACAGUACCGGGAGAAUAAGCUCCGGCUAACUACGUG